RNAcentral lists this transfer RNA (75 nucleotides) under Streptomyces subrutilus. RNAcentral describes it as "tRNA-Gly". It matches the Rfam family "tRNA". From Rfam's summary of the family: Transfer RNA (tRNA) molecules are approximately 80 nucleotides in length. Their secondary structure includes four short double-helical elements and three loops (D, anti-codon, and T loops). Further hydrogen bonds mediate the characteristic L-shaped molecular structure. tRNAs have two regions of fundamental functional importance: the anti-codon, which is responsible for specific mRNA codon recognition, and the 3' end, to which the tRNAs corresponding amino acid is attached (by aminoacyl-tRNA synthetases). tRNAs cope with the degeneracy of the genetic code in two manners: having more than one tRNA (with a specific anti-codon) for a particular amino acid; and 'wobble' base-pairing, i.e. permitting non-standard base-pairing at the 3rd anti-codon position. Lineage: Bacteria; Bacillati; Actinomycetota; Actinomycetes; Kitasatosporales; Streptomycetaceae. The record is from RNAcentral.
GCGGGUGUAGUUCAGUAGUAGAACAUCCUCCUUCCAGGAGGAAGGCGCAGUGUGCGAUCCCUGUCACCCGCUCCG